Molecule: ribosomal RNA, 253 nt
Filed under: uncultured Sphingobacterium sp.
Lineage: Bacteria; Pseudomonadati; Bacteroidota; Sphingobacteriia; Sphingobacteriales; Sphingobacteriaceae
Description: partial 16S ribosomal RNA
Rfam family: Bacterial small subunit ribosomal RNA
Source: RNAcentral
UACGGAGGAUCCGAGCGUUAUCCGGAUUUAUUGGGUUUAAAGGGUGCGUAGGCGGCCUAUUAAGUCAGGGGUGAAAGACGGCAGCUUAACUGUCGCAGUGCCUUUGAUACUGAUGGGCUUGAAUGUGGUUGAAGAUGGCGGAAUGAGACAAGUAGCGGUGAAAUGCAUAGAUAUGUCUCAGAACUCCGAUUGCGAAGGCAGCUGUCUAAGUCAUUAUUGACGCUGAUGCACGAAAGCGUGGGGAUCGAACAGG